Long non-coding RNA from Morus notabilis, 372 nucleotides. RefSeq lists it as uncharacterized. The record is from RefSeq and is a predicted model, not a curated record. The transcript is spliced from 3 exons. Lineage: Eukaryota; Viridiplantae; Streptophyta; Magnoliopsida; Rosales; Moraceae.
GUGAAUCGUAGAAUUGAUAUCUAAGAGAUCAUAUCCUUAGGGGCAUGUCCUGAAACCCGUAUGGAUCACUUCGGUAUUGAUAUUAUGGCUUUACAAUAAGGUGAUGCUAGAAGUAGUGCCGAGUAGAUAGCGACUGCCGGCAGCUCCAGUUUGUCUCAUUCAAGCGAAGAAGUUGUAAUUUACUUCCUUUCUUGUCGCAUACUUCUAAGGCAUGUAUAAAUUACGGUUUGUAACCCUUAAUACCCCUAGACUGUGCUUGAUGUCUAUAUUCAGUUACCUGUUUUGUUUAUGUAUGCUACAAUAUGGAUUUUUCUAUGGGGAAUCCUAAUGUGAUGCCAAAAGUUGAUUUUGAAACUUGUUUGUUAUGAUAUU